GAUGAAGAACGCAGCGAAAUGCGAUAAGUAAUGUGAAUUGCAGAAUUCAGUGAAUCAUCGAAUCUUUGAACGCACAUUGCGCCCGCCAGUAUUCUGGCGGACAUGCCUGUUCGAGCGUCAUUUCAACCAUCAAGCCCCCGGCUUGUGUUGGGGACCUGCGGCUGCCGCAGGCCCUGAAAACCAGUGGCGGGCUCGCUAGUCACUCCGAGCGUAGUAAUACAUCUCGCUCAGGGCGUGCUGCGGGUUCCGGCCGUUAAAAAGCCUUAUUUACCCAAGGUUGACCUCGGAUCAGGUAGGAAGACCCGCUGAACUUAAGCAUAUCAAUAAGCGGAGGA
This 335-nucleotide unclassified non-coding RNA is filed under the name soil metagenome. RNAcentral describes it as "partial contains 5.8S ribosomal RNA, internal transcribed spacer 2, and large subunit ribosomal RNA". The stretch from base 1 to 120 matches the Rfam family "5.8S ribosomal RNA", at positions 35 to 154 of the family's 154-position model. The record is from RNAcentral.